CCUACGGGAGGCAGCAGUGGGGAAUUUUGGACAAUGGGCGCAAGCCUGAUCCAGCCAUGCCGCGUGCGGGAAGAAGGCCUUCGGGUUGUAAACCGCUUUUGUCAGGGAAGAAACGCUCUGGGCUAACACCCCGGGGUAAUGACGGUACCUGAAGAAUAAGCACCGGCUAACUACGUGCCAGCAGCCGCGGUAAUACGUAGGGUGCAAGCGUUAAUCGGAAUUACUGGGCGUAAAGCGUGCGCAGGCGGCUGUGCAAGACAGAUGUGAAAUCCCCGGGCUUAACCUGGGAACUGCAUUUGUGACUGCAUAGCUAGAGUACGGCAGAGGGGGAUGGAAUUCCGCGUGUAGCAGUGAAAUGCGUAGAUAUGCGGAGGAACACCGAUGGCGAAGGCAAUCCCCUGGGCCUGUACUGACGCUCAUGCACGAAAGCGUGGGGAGCAAACAGGAUUAGAUACCCUGGUACGUCGACGCCCUAACCGAAUGUCAACUAGGUUGUUGGUAGGGUUCGUUUCUCUAGUACGUAGNUAACGCGUGAAGUGUACGCCGUGGGAGGUACGGGUCCGGCCGAAAGGUUGGUUAAACGUUACCGUUAAACGUUAAGUAAGUUAGGUUACGGCGUGGAGGACGUUACGCGACGGACGACGACGAGGGAGGAGG
RNAcentral lists this ribosomal RNA (657 nucleotides) under uncultured bacterium. RNAcentral describes it as "bacterial SSU rRNA". The stretch from base 1 to 545 matches the Rfam family "Bacterial small subunit ribosomal RNA", at positions 338 to 873 of the family's 1533-position model. The record is from RNAcentral.